GGACCCGCACAAGCAGUGGAGUAUGUGGUUUAAUUCGACGCAACGCGAAGAACCUUACCAGGGCUUGACAUCCUCUGAUCGCUGUAGAGAUACAGUUUCCCUUCGGGGCAGAGUGACAGGUGGUGCAUGGUUGUCGUCAGCUCGUGUCGUGAGAUGUAGGGUUAAGUCCCAUAACGAGCGCAACCCCUAUGGUUUGUUGCCAUCAUUCAGUUGGGCACUCAAGCCAGACUGCCGUUGAUAAAACGGAGGAAGGAGGGGACGACGUCAAAUCAUCAUGCCCCUUAUGUCCUGGGCUACGCACGUACUACAAUGGUACCGACAACAGGCAGCGAAGGCGCGAGCCGGAGCGAAUCCUCCAAACGGUAUCUCAGUUCGGAUUGCAGGCUGAAACCCGCCUGCAUGAAGUCGGAAUUGCUAGUAAUGGCAGGUCAGCAUACUGCCGUGAAUACGUUCCCGGGUCUU
RNAcentral lists this ribosomal RNA (462 nucleotides) under uncultured bacterium. RNAcentral's name for it is "bacterial SSU rRNA". It matches the Rfam family "Bacterial small subunit ribosomal RNA", at positions 917 to 1382 of the family's 1533-position model. The record is from RNAcentral.